GGUCAUGUGGCCGAGUGGUGAGGCAUAGGUCUGCAAAACCUUAUACGGCGGUUCAAUUCCGUCCAUGACCU
RNAcentral lists this transfer RNA (71 nucleotides) under Bacteroidota bacterium. RNAcentral describes it as "tRNA-Cys". It matches the Rfam family "tRNA". Rfam says of the family: Transfer RNA (tRNA) molecules are approximately 80 nucleotides in length. Their secondary structure includes four short double-helical elements and three loops (D, anti-codon, and T loops). Further hydrogen bonds mediate the characteristic L-shaped molecular structure. tRNAs have two regions of fundamental functional importance: the anti-codon, which is responsible for specific mRNA codon recognition, and the 3' end, to which the tRNAs corresponding amino acid is attached (by aminoacyl-tRNA synthetases). tRNAs cope with the degeneracy of the genetic code in two manners: having more than one tRNA (with a specific anti-codon) for a particular amino acid; and 'wobble' base-pairing, i.e. permitting non-standard base-pairing at the 3rd anti-codon position. Lineage: Bacteria; Pseudomonadati; Bacteroidota. The record is from RNAcentral.